This is a long non-coding RNA of Oncorhynchus keta (chum salmon), 1494 nucleotides long. RefSeq lists it as uncharacterized. The record is from RefSeq and is a predicted model, not a curated record. The transcript is spliced from 2 exons. Lineage: Eukaryota; Metazoa; Chordata; Actinopteri; Salmoniformes; Salmonidae.
UGUGAGGGCUGUGCUGCACCUCCUGUCACUGUGAGGGCUGUGCUGCACCUCCUGUCACUGUGAGGGCUGUGCUGCACCUCCUGUCACUGUGAGGGCUGUGCUGCACCUCCUGUCACUGUGAGGGCUGUGCUGCCGCUUGCUGCUGCUACUACUGGGUUCUACUACCCCGUGACAUAGUAUAUACAAAGAUAUAUAGAGAGCAACAUGUCCAUAGAUAAUCCUGCGGCACCUUUUCACAGUUGUAGAAAUGAUACAAGUAAAUAGGUCUCAAUAUUUUGUGAAGUUAACUUAUUACCACUUUUCAUUUUUAUAGACAAGUGUAGAUUAAAGUUUUUAUUUUUGGAUUUGUAUAAUUUCAACUUUAUGUACACAUUUUGUUUCAUUGGUUUAUACUUUUUGUUUUAAUCUGACACUUAAUAAAUGGCUCUAGUUCAAAUCUUUAGGUUAACUUAAAUAUAAAUUAAGGUUGGCUCAACUGCAAUGUUUUAUAUGCGCUCUUAAUGUGAUGUUCACUCAGAUUGUGUGUGUGUGUGUGUGAAAGCAUAUGUUGGGACAUGUGUACACAGAGUAUAUCCAAUAUUAGGAACACUUAUUGGGUUGCAGCCAUCCCUCACUUCGUCGGGGCAUGAACUCUACAAGGUGUUGAAAGCAUUCCACAGGGAUGCUGGCCCGUGUUGACUCUACAAGGUGUUGAAAGCAUUCCACAGGGAUGCUGGCCCGUGUUGACUCUACAAGGUGUUGAAAGCAUUCCACAGGGAUGCUGGCCCGUGUUGACUCUACAAGGUGUUGAAAGCGUUCCACGGGGAUGCUGGCCCAUGUUGACAGCGUUCCACAGGGAUGCUGGCCCAUGUUGACUCCAAUGCUUCCCACAGUUGUCCAGUUGGCUGGAUGUCCUUUGGGCGGUGGACCAUUCUUGAUACACACGGGAAACUGUUGUGUGAAACCCAGCAGCGUUGCAGUUCUUGAUACAAAGCGGUGUGCCUGGCACCUACUACCUUAUACCCUGUUCAAAGGCUCUUGUCUUUCCCAUUCACACACCAUCCAUGUCUCAAGGUUUAAAAAUCCUUCUUUAACCUGUCUCCUCCCCUUCAUCUACACUGAAGUGGAUUUAUCAUAGCGUUCAGCUGGUCAGUCUCAUGGAAAGAGCAGGUGUUCCUAAUGGUUUUGUACACUGUGUACAUUUGCCAUGAGUCUUUAUACAUAUGGUUAGCCCCUGAUUAAAUUACUUAUGAAAGCUAACAAUUACACUACAUAUUGCAUGAUUUUAGAAAAUUGUCACCAAGCCAUAGAAUUUGGUAAAUGUGAAUGUUCAAUUUGCUUGAUAAUCCCUAAAUUUUACCGCACCACACCCAGACUCAUGUAUCUGUGUAGAAGACGUUUGACCGAGAUGAAUCUCUGAUAUUGUUUUAGCGAAGUGUGCUGGUGCUGACUGGGAAUGCAGAAGUCCUCUUUUUCCUUGUACAUUUCUUUUAUUAAAGACUUAAUUACAAAUUG